AAGGUAGAAGGUGGGGUCUGCCGGACGCGUGUUCCUGCCACCAGGUGCCCGCUCCCCGCGAGGCCGGCUCAGGAGCAGGGUAAGUCUGGGACUGCCGUUCGGGCCUACCCAGCAGGUAAGUCUUAGGCCAUCGCCUGCGGUGUCGGCCCCGGGAGCAGCGAGACCCAAGAUUGCAUCAAACGUUUGCCCCGUCUCUGCAUAUGUGACUGGACGUGAAUGAUGCUUCAUUUUGGCACCCCCUUUCCCUGCUCAGGUAGAAUGUAAACAAUUGAAAAAAAUCCCUUCCCAAUCAGAAUACCACCCACAGGACAACGAAGAAAACCUAUCUUCAGUCCCCACCCACGAAAUGCUGGGGGGUGGGGAGGACUGGAAAAGGAGUAAGGGGAGAGGAAGGGUGAGCAGCUGCAAGAAGUCUUUACACCUCUCUGCGGUUCCUGGUAAACGCGCUCAUGUCCUGGGUAUGGAAGGGACUUAAGAAUUCAGGAAAGAUCAAAAUAACGGGCCUCUUCCCCACUCCCUCGCCCUCCCUUCCCCGCUGCUGGGGGGUUAGGGAGGCUCCGUGGAGCUCCAGCACUCUAGAAGGAUCGGGUGAGGCGCGAGGCCUUGCGGGCGGGUGAACCCAAGGUGGGGUGGAAGGCUCCAACCCGCCCAAUCUGAGCCCGAGGCCUGCUGAGAAGCAUGGGGGCCUUGGGAUAGUUCCAGAAUGAGGAUGUGCGUUUCUAGCUGCUUUGCGCCCUCCUCCCCCAAAAAUCUGCUACCACAAUUCCAACCCGGCGGCACGCCCCCAAGACUCCUUUGUCGCCCCAGGGGCGGGACCUGAGCUGUCGAUUUCAGGAGCCCUUCGUGACUUCAAAAGUCCUGGGCACUGUUGCUCAUGAGUGCUGCACAACUGUCGCCCUCUAAAGCCACCUCCAUCCCUCACUGGGCUGGCCUCCUGAGCCUUCGGUGAGGAAACGGGGUUCCGAGUUGCCCGCCUGAGAGCUUAACAGUCUGACUAGAAAAGGGCUAAUUCGCUUUCUGUGCAAAUCUCUUGAGCUAAUUAUUUAAUCUGAAACAUGGACAGGUAAAGGACCAUUGGCGGGCGUGGGGAGGGAGGUGUGGAAUCUUUCCCACACUUUUUGUCACCUUAAAGAAAAAAAAAAGACACCCAAACUCCUCUGGUCUGAAUGGGCUGCCUGGAACUGGGCUUCCCGGGGCCAGGAGUGGGCCCCUAGAAGUUUCCCAGUUUGGGGUGGGGCCGGGGUUCCGAAGUCUAGAGCUGGGAGUCGGGUUCAGCGGCCCGAGACGCUGGCUCUCCCAGACUCCCUUGCGCCGGGGCAGUGCGCGGGGGCGGCUCGGGUCCCUCCCGGGCCGGCGGGGACCCUCAGGCUCCCGGGGCGCCGCCCACCAGCCCGACCCGGCGGCCUAGAAAUCCCCAUUCUGCUCCCGCCUCGCCCCGGCCGGCCAGCGCAGGGCCCCUCAGGCCCGCAAUCUCCAGGCUCAAACGGCGAACAGGUCCCCGCAUCCGCCUGCCUUUGCACUUGGGGGUGGGAGAGCCACCUUGUGACGCCCCUUCUGCCUCUCACCAGCUUCCCCCUUUCUCCCCGUCCUGUACGGUUCCCCCUGGAGCCAGAAGGAAGCCCGGUGCCAGCCAGCCUUCCUGAAAGACCAAGCCCGCGCCAUCCGGCUUCCUCCAGUGGACGCCUGCAGGACCCAGGAAUGUUUUUCUUGAAGGCAUCCAGCAUCUCCAGUUAGCAGUACUGAUUUUUUUUCCCCCCAACAAAGGAACACUACAUCAACACUGUUGGCGGGGACCUGGACACAGAAGACUCCUGUUUCAAGAAAAUACAAUCAUCUCUCAAAGGCUGUAAUUUAUAUGCAUUUUAAAACUCUAGGCAUUGAAAACCACCCAAGUGUCCCAAAUAGAAGGGUAAUAUAUAAUCAAUCACUCAGUGUAAUAUUAUACAUCCUUUAAAAAUGUUAUUGGGAAAUGUUUUAUGAUCUGUAAGUCCAAGGAAUCCUCUCCCACCAUUUCUUUCCCCCCGCUGUUCCCCCAUACCCACACUUCUUUGUUCCAAUUGGCAUGUAAAUUUGGUUUUCCCGCCAAAUGAGUCAGUCAUGAUGGGAACCUCAACUGAUUUGAACAGAUGUGUGUCAAUGUUACUUGGAAAACUAGAUGUCAAUAACCAGGGUCACAGAAAAAGGCAGUGGUCACAACUCUGUAAAAAUGUAUGCAUGCACACAGACAAGAACUAAAGUGGAACCCCACACAGGAAAACAGUGGGCUGUACUCCAGUGCUGGGACAUUGAAUGACUGUAUGCUGCUUUUGAUUUCCGUU
This 2318-nucleotide long non-coding RNA is filed under the name Homo sapiens (human). Its description in RNAcentral is "HSALNT0408792". The record is from RNAcentral. Lineage: Eukaryota; Metazoa; Chordata; Mammalia; Primates; Hominidae.